This 19-nucleotide unclassified non-coding RNA is filed under the name Mus musculus (house mouse). Its description in RNAcentral is "oocyte_clustered_small_RNA10052". The record is from RNAcentral. Lineage: Eukaryota; Metazoa; Chordata; Mammalia; Rodentia; Muridae.
UUCUGGGGCCAGGGCUGGG